This is a long non-coding RNA of Triticum aestivum (bread wheat), 2467 nucleotides long. RefSeq lists it as uncharacterized. The transcript has 3 exons. NCBI's taxonomy places the organism in Eukaryota, Viridiplantae, Streptophyta, Magnoliopsida, Poales, Poaceae. The record is from RefSeq and is a predicted model, not a curated record.
AUAGCUUUAUUGUUUCUCUGUUCUUUCCUUAUUCUCUCACAACAGAAAAACUAAAUUUAUUUAUUUUGCACUUUAUGUUUCUUAAUGUUGUCAGACUAAUACAGAAGAACAAAAAACUAACUGUUGAUGUUUUGUCUAGCCAGCUAGCCGGCAAGUCAGAUAAAAGUGUCAUCUGAUACGAGAAAGUACUACUGUUUUCAUUUAUAAAAGAUACAUAAGUGUUAAUUUGGCAAGUCUGUUAGUUGAUAACCUUACCUGAUGUUAAGAGGGUGAGUGGUUAGUGUAAAAUAACUUUGAGAUCACCUCCUUUUGCAGUUCUGACCAAUUUUUUCUUCACAUCAUUUUGAAAUUCUUAGUUUGUUUUUUGAGUUAUCCAUAUUGUACCCAUGUCAUGCUGAAUGAACGUGCAUGCUGUGAGAGAGAUAGAUGGAAACUGUAAUUCUUCAGUGUCAUUAUACAUUAUGUAGAGUUAUAUUUUGAAAAUCACUGUUCCGAUGUCUCAUCAAGGUUGAGGCUCAUAUUGUUUAAGAAUGUUGCUCACCAAUUCACAAUUGUUUCUGGCUCACCCAAUUUAUGUAAGCAUGUACAGAAUUAGACUGAGAGACACCAACCAGAUAUAUUGGUUCAGUAAACUCACAAUUAUCAGGGAGAAAUAACAUAAACUCUUUUGUUUCAAGCAUUUUUUCUUAUUAAGUUUCCUAUAUCUGAUCUACUUCACACAUUAUAUAACUAUGAAACUGCUAAUAAUUAUUCACAUCGGCAUCUCUGAAUUCAUCAUGAGAACAUGGUAUCUGUCUCUCUGACAAUGUGUCAUGAUGAUCUGGCUUAUCUUAAUGUUGUCAGAGACACAGAAGAACUGAAAACUAACUACAGUUUGGAUGUAACAACGUACAAGGCAUAGCUUGACACCACGUAGAAGUCAGGGAGCGCCCACGUCGCUUAGGAGGGUGAGUGGAUUAGUCGCCGAUUAGUGCCUUCACUGUUGUUGAAUAAACUGGCUUCAGCUCUGAUGCAUGUGAACUGUGAGGUGUUUUUGGUAUGGGAAUGAUGAGGUUCUGAUGGUCUAUACCUGAUUGCAAGGUUUGGGUAUGAAUUAAAUUUGCGUCCAAACUUGGCAAUUAUCUUCUAUGAAUUUAGGCAUUGUUCACAUGUCAUUUGAGUCAAACAGAAAUAUGCUUCUGAAAUGCUCCAAUUUGCUGCUUUUCACAUUUUGAGAAGGUUGUUUAUUUCGUAUUCAUCGGGUUAUGCUAAAGCAGAAGGCAUUGUGCUGACAUUUUUUAAGCCUUACUUGAUUUUGAUAUGUGGUUAGCCGUUUGCCCUUGCACCAAAAACAAACACUAUUCCUAUGUCUUACUUAGAAGCAAAGGUGCAUUAAUUAUUAACUGGUUGAUAUAUGUUCCAUGGUGGGUGGCAUAGAAAACAAAGCUUCUUUCUAAGACAUGAUGUUCUGUUACUAGCAAAAAAGUGUUAGAAUUUAUAAGUACUUAUUCAAAGAAAAUAAAAACUGACUGGAGAACUGUUUGUUUCUACCAUUCCUUUCAAGUUAAGGCAAAAAUCAUAUUGGCAUGUAGCUUGUGCUCCUGCAGAGUUCUUUUUGUUUUGAUUUUCUAUAAUGUUAAAGGCAUAUAGAAUAAUGAAAUUGCAAUAGUUAUGAUCCCUAGGCCCGACAAAAAACUGACGAGAGUAUUAGGCGGUGGCAGGUAUCAGGCUACAGCAGUUGAAUUGCAAGUCUUCUGAUGAGCUUUUGCAGCAAGGUGGAGCAACCUUACAGUGCAAAGAUGAAGAAGGGGCAAUUCCUCUUCAUGGUGCUUGUGCUUGGGGGUAUGCAUUAUUUAUUUGCAUUGAGCUUAUACUUCCUUGCCCCAAGGAGAAGGUUUCAUGCCCCAAGAAGUAGAAUACGUACAGACAGGCACCCAUCGGGAUGGACGAUCAAGAAACCAAAGUCUAGGCCCUGAUAACUACUCCCUCCGUUCCAAAAUAGAUGACCCAACUUUAUACUAACUUUGGAAUGGAGGGAGUACAAAGCAAGUCGAUGCCAGCAUACAUAUGACAAAAUGAUGGGCCUGUCAGAGCGAACCCUUGGUUGAAAUUUGUCAAAAGACUGGGCGGUAAACUGAGUGGUAGUCUUAGUAUCCUAAUACACAACUUGCCUACUAUGUUUUUUUUUUAACAACAGAGAGCGCCAGAGGCGCCAGAUUUCAUUCAGCUCAACAACAUAAUACAGCAUUUAUUACAAUGCCCUGCAGUAGUGUAGCAGACUGAAGAGCAAGCAAAACAGGAUAACAGUUUGAGGAAUGAGCUGAUUUAGAGCAUACAUAGAUAGAUUGGUCAAGGCGUCGCUUUCAACUAUGGAGUUGUGUGCAAAGAAAGGACAUAAUGUUUCUCAAAUUGCCCUUUGUAUCUCUAUGUUUUGCACUUUAUCAAAGGCGCAAUCAGUUGAGCUCUCAAGCAAGUUUUUCCAGCAUGA